Cyanistes caeruleus (blue tit) is the source of this 391-nucleotide non-coding RNA. The record is from RefSeq and is a predicted model, not a curated record. NCBI's taxonomy places the organism in Eukaryota, Metazoa, Chordata, Aves, Passeriformes, Paridae.
GCCGCCCCCGGGACAGCGGCAGGGCAGGGACGGGGCGGAGGUCGCGGGCUCGGAGGUCGCUGCCGACCUUUAAAACUAAGGCGAGGAACGCGAAAGCCGGCCGGGGUAAAGGAUGGUUUGCAGGAAGGGAAAAGGAGGAAAAAUAUUUGGCUGGUGGUGGUGGGAUCAAAAAAAUAUCAUUAAACAUCUAGUUUUUGCAGCAUUUCUCAGAGACUGGAUUUAAACUGAAACCAGACUAAAAUAUGUGGAUGCCUAUGGAAUGUUGAGCUGAAGCUGGUGGCCCAGCCUGCAGUGCAACACCUGCUGUUUAAAACCCAAUCUCCGUACCACAUGACUCUUAAAUAACGCAAUCAUGUUCAGAGAUGUGAUAGAAAUAAAACUACAGUUUUUG